Molecule: ribosomal RNA, 403 nt
Filed under: bacterium
Lineage: Bacteria
Also listed under: 2 other names
Description: partial 16S ribosomal RNA
Rfam family: Bacterial small subunit ribosomal RNA
Source: RNAcentral
UGGGGAAUAUUGCACAAUGGAGGGAACUCUGAUGCAGCGACGCCGCGUGAACGAAGAAGGCUUUCGAGUCGUAAAGUUCUUUUAUAUGGGAAGAUAAUGACGGUACCAUAAGAAAAAGCCCCGGCUAACUACGUGCCAGCAGCCGCGGUAAUACGUAGGGGGCUAGCGUUGUCCGGAAUCACUGGGCGUAAAGGGUUCGCAGGCGGAAAUGCAAGUCAGGUGUAAAAGGCAGUAGCUUAACUACUGUAAGCAUUUGAAACUGCAUAUCUUGAGAAGAGUAGAGGUAAGUGGAAUUUUUAGUGUAGCGGUGAAAUGCGUAGAUAUUAAAAAGAAUACCGGUGUCGAAGGCGACUUACUGGGCUCAUUCUGACGCUGAGGAACGAAAGCGUGGGUAGCAAACAGG